GGACUACCAGGGUUUCUAAUCCUGUUUGCUCCCCACGCUUUCGCGCCUCAGCGUCAGUAUCGGACCAGGUCGCCGCCUUCGCCACCGGUGUUCUUCCCAAUAUCUACGAAUUUCACCUCUACACUGGGAAUUCCACGACCCUCUUCCGAACUCCAGACAAUACGUAUCAAACGCAGCCCCCAGGUUGAGCCCAGGAAUUUCACGCCUGACUGUACUAUCCGCCUACGCGCCCUUUACGCCCAGUCAAUCCGAGCAACGCUAGCCCCCUUCGUAUUACCGCGGCGGCUGGCAC
Molecule: ribosomal RNA, 292 nt
Filed under: uncultured Alphaproteobacteria bacterium
Lineage: Bacteria; Pseudomonadati; Pseudomonadota; Alphaproteobacteria
Description: partial 16S ribosomal RNA
Source: RNAcentral